AAAUUGAAUAAUUAGAUGUAAAUAUGUAUUUAUGAAGACUGAAUCCCCACAGGCUGAUCCCUUCUAUCUUGACGGAUGGAUUCUGCUGGCUCUACAUCUUCUCCAUCCAUUCUCACUUGAUUCUUGCCCAGUGUUUCAUGACAAAAACAUGGACCAACCCAGUACCUUCCUUGUUACAAGUACUCAGGAAAAGAAAUAAAUCCUUUAGAGCAGUGAGAUUCUUUCAUGCUAAAAGAUGCAGCAGUUUCAGCGCCAGGGUUUACAAUAUUUUUGCCAGUGCAACGUGUGCACAGUACUGUGAUGUUUUGUGCUAAUGCGUGAGUUAUUUUGCUAUGCCAUUAUAUAUCUAUUUGAAUUUUAUUUUUUCUUUAUUUCCC
This 377-nucleotide long non-coding RNA is filed under the name Scleropages formosus (Asian bonytongue). Its description in RNAcentral is "lncRNA (ENSSFOG00015025696.1)". The record is from RNAcentral. Lineage: Eukaryota; Metazoa; Chordata; Actinopteri; Osteoglossiformes; Osteoglossidae.